CGGGUAGCGGAACACGUACGCAACCUUCCUUUAACUGGAGAAUAGCCCCUCGAAAGAGGGAUUAAUACUCCGUAACAUAUUGAUAAGGCAUCUUAUUAAUAUUAUAGCUCCGGCGGUUAAAGAUGGGCGUGCGCCUGAUUAGAUAGUUGGCGGGGUAACGGCCCACCAAGUCUGCGAUCAGUAACUGGUGUGAGAGCACGACCAGUCACACGGGCACUGAGACACGGGCCCG
Molecule: ribosomal RNA, 232 nt
Filed under: uncultured bacterium
Lineage: Bacteria
Description: partial 16S ribosomal RNA
Rfam family: Bacterial small subunit ribosomal RNA
Source: RNAcentral